CUUCUAGGAAGAGCUUGGAGGAUAUGGACAAAAACAUCGAAUAAAGAGCACGCCGGUACUAACGCCGAUGUGCACAUCAUUUUGAUUGACCCUGAUGGAGGAGAAUCCCCGCCUUUAUUCUUGGACAAUAUAUUACGCAACGAUUUUCAGCAAAAUUCUGUAGACCAAUUCAGCGUAUACGACAUGGUUAACCUCAAGGACGUCUGCGCUAUCAGAAUUUAUCGUGAUAACAGUGGCUCUUCCCCUGACUGGUUUCUCGAAAAGGUGUGGAUAAAAGCUGCUCACAUGAAAAACGAUCGUGUAUUUAAUAUCAACCGCUGGGUCCCAACAGAACAAGAAGAGAGGGCAUCACACUAUGAAGUACAGCGCUCGCCACCGUGUAGCGCAGGUCACCUGCCGUGAUGCAUCAACGUGGCAAUGGUAGACAGCGGAUGACAAGGAUGAAGAGAAGUAACGUGGCUUUGGAGCAGAUUUCCUGAGGUCAACUUACAGUACUGCAAACUGAAAUUUUGUUUUCACCGUCUAAACUUUGAAGGCAUCCAGGACUCAAAUACUUGCUGAAAUUGCUUUUAUUUGUAGAAACUUGCUGGCAUGUCAUAAUAAAGAACGUCUGUUCAUGCAUGAAA
Pomacea canaliculata is the source of this 626-nucleotide long non-coding RNA. RefSeq lists it as uncharacterized. The record is from RefSeq and is a predicted model, not a curated record. NCBI's taxonomy places the organism in Eukaryota, Metazoa, Mollusca, Gastropoda, Architaenioglossa, Ampullariidae. The transcript is spliced from 4 exons.